Molecule: transfer RNA, 88 nt
Filed under: Moraxella sp.
Lineage: Bacteria; Pseudomonadati; Pseudomonadota; Gammaproteobacteria; Moraxellales; Moraxellaceae
Description: tRNA-Ser
Rfam family: tRNA
About the family: Transfer RNA (tRNA) molecules are approximately 80 nucleotides in length.
Source: RNAcentral
GGAAGCGUGGCAGAGCGGUUGAAUGCACCGGUCUUGAAAACCGGCGAUGGGAGACCAUCCGUGAGUUCGAAUCUCACCGCUUCCGCCA